UCUGAGGAUUCCUUAGGCAGUCUGGAUGAGAGAGAGAAAAGGCUGCUGACCAGUGAGAUGAACUACUGGACUAAGGAGAGGAGGAGGAAUGGCAGUGCAGGGUGCCGCCAUAAAUCCACUCGCAGAACCUCAUCACCAUGCUGUUCGCCUAAGAGCGUUCCAAGAGAGGAAACAAAAAGGUCUGCCAUUCAGUCCAGGAACAGACUGAGAUUCCCUCUACUGAUGGACAUUGCAUAGCUCCAGUUGGAGAGGUUUCUCCCUCCAUAUCUCAGCCUGUCAAAAAACGAUCCUUGAUUGUCAGGGUCUUUUCAGCAAUGAUGAAUCCAUUCAGGCGCUUCACCAAGAAGAACCUGUAACCUGUUAUCCUGCAUGAAGAACUACUUUUGUAACAGCAAGACUUUUGACAAGAGGAAUUUCUGCAUGUCUACCCUUUCA
Long non-coding RNA from Oncorhynchus tshawytscha (Chinook salmon), 435 nucleotides. The record is from Ensembl. Lineage: Eukaryota; Metazoa; Chordata; Actinopteri; Salmoniformes; Salmonidae.